This 255-nucleotide ribosomal RNA is filed under the name uncultured bacterium. RNAcentral's name for it is "partial 16S ribosomal RNA". It matches the Rfam family "Bacterial small subunit ribosomal RNA", at positions 77 to 334 of the family's 1533-position model. The record is from RNAcentral.
CAAACUGGAGAUGGCGACCGGCGCACGGGUGAGUAACACGUAUCCAACCUGCCGAUAACUCGGGGAUAGCCUUUCGAAAGGAAGAUUAAUACCCGAUGGUAUAAUAAAACCGCAUGGUUUAAUUAUUAAAGAAUUUCGGUUAUCGAUGGGGAUGCGUUCCAUUAGGCAGUUGGUGAGGUAACGGCUCACCAAACCUUCGAUGGAUAGGGGUUCUGAGAGGAAGGUCCCCCACAUUGGAACUGAGACACGGUCCAA